This is a non-coding RNA of Alligator mississippiensis (American alligator), 182 nucleotides long. The record is from Rfam. NCBI's taxonomy places the organism in Eukaryota, Metazoa, Chordata, Crocodylia, Alligatoridae.
AUGUCUUUGUCUAUCUUCGACUCUGAAAAAGGAGCCUGUAAACAGUGUAGUAUUUGUUCUUAUCAGUUUAAUAUCUGAUAUGUCCUCGAUGUGAGGACUUUAUAUUAAAUGGAUUUUUGGGACUAGGAGAUGGACUCGGAGCUUGCUCCAUCCACUCCACGCAUCGGCCUGGUAAACCGAAC